Molecule: ribosomal RNA, 455 nt
Filed under: uncultured bacterium
Lineage: Bacteria
Description: bacterial SSU rRNA
Rfam family: Bacterial small subunit ribosomal RNA
Source: RNAcentral
UACGGGAGGCAGCAGUGGGGAAUAUUGCACAAUGGGCGCAAGCCUGAUGCAGCCAUGCCGCGUGUAUGAAAAAGGCCUUCGGGUUGUAAAGUACUUUCAGUCGUGAGGAAGGUGUUAAGGUUAAUAACCUUAGCAAUUGACGUUAGCGACAGAAGAAGCACCGGCUAACUCCGUGCCAGCAGCCGCGGUAAUACGGAGGGUGCGAGCGUUAAUCGGAAUUACUGGGCGUAAAGGGCACGCAGGCGGUUAAUUAAGUUGGAUGUGAAAUCCCCGGGCUUAACCUGGGAAUGGCAUUCAAGACUGGUUAGCUAGAGUCUUGUAGAGGGGGUUAGAAGUUCCAUGUGUAGCGGUGAAAUGCGUAGAGAUGUGGAGGAAUACCGGUGGCGAAGGCGGCCCCUGGACAAAGACUGACGCUCAUGUGCGAAAGCGUGGGGAGCAAACAGGGAUUAGAUACC